AGCGAACGCUGGCGGCAGGCCUAACACAUGCAAGUCGAACGAACCUUUCGGGGUUAGUGGCGGACGGGUGAGUAACACGUGGGAACGUGCCUUUAGGUUCGGAAUAACUCAGGGAAACUUGUGCUAAUACCGAAUGUGCCCUUCGGGGGAAAGAUUAAUCGCCUUUAGAGCGGCCCGCGUCUGAUUAGCUAGUUGGUUGAGGUAAUGGCUCACCAAGGCGACGAUCAGUAGCUGGUCUGAGAGGAUGAUCAGCACAUUGGGACUGAGACACGGCCCAAACUCCUACGGGAGGCAGCAGUGGGGAAUCUUGCGCAAUGGGCGAAAGCCUGACGCAGCCAUGCCGCGUGAAUGAUGAAGGUCUUAGGAUUGUAAAAUUCUUUCACCGGGGACGAUAAUGACGGUACCCGGAGAAGAAGCCCCGGCUAACUUCGUG
This 433-nucleotide ribosomal RNA is filed under the name uncultured bacterium. RNAcentral's name for it is "partial 16S ribosomal RNA". It matches the Rfam family "Bacterial small subunit ribosomal RNA", at positions 29 to 507 of the family's 1533-position model. The record is from RNAcentral.